UGCUCCCGUUGGUUAGCGGCGGACGGGUGAGUAACACGUGGGCAACCUGCCUGUAAGACUGGGAUAACUUCGGGAAACCGGAGCUAAUACCGGAUAAUUCUUUUCCUCUCAUGAGGGAAAGCUGAAAGUCGGUUUCGGCUGACACUUACAGAUGGGCCCGCGGCGCAUUAGCUAGUUGGUGAGGUAACGGCUCACCAAGGCGACGAUGCGUAGCCGACCUGAGAGGGUGAUCGGCCACACUGGGACUGAGACACGGCCCAGACUUCUACGGGAAGCAGCAGUAGGGAAUUUUCCACAAUGGACGAAAGUCUGAUGGAGCAACGCCGCGUGAGCGAUGGAGGCCUUCGGGUCGUAAAGCUCUGUUGGUAGGGAAGAACAAGUAUCGGAGUAACUGCCGGUACCUUGACGGUACCUAACCAGAAAGCCACGGCUAACUACGUGCCAGCAGCCGCGGUAAUACGUAGGUUGCAAGCGUUGUCCGGAAUUAUUGGGCGUAAAGCGCGCGCAGGCGGUCCUUUAAGUCUGAUGUGAAAGCCCACGGCUCAACCGUGGAGGGUCAUUGGAAACUGGGGGACUUGAGUGCAGAAGAGGAAAGCGGAAUUCCACGUGUAGCGGUGAAAUGCGUAGAGAUUUGGAAGAAACACCAGUGGGCGAAGGCGGCUUUUCUGGUCUGUAACUGACGCUGAGGCGCGAAAGCGUGGGGGAGCAAAACAGGAUUAGAUACCCUGGUAGUCCACGCCGUAAACGAUGAGUGCUAAGUGUUAGAGGGUUUCCGCCCUUUAGUGCUGCAGCUAACGCAUUAAGCACUCCGCCUGGGGGAGUACGGCCGCAAGGCUGAAACUCAAGGAAU
RNAcentral lists this ribosomal RNA (850 nucleotides) under Neobacillus soli. Its description in RNAcentral is "bacterial SSU rRNA". It matches the Rfam family "Bacterial small subunit ribosomal RNA", at positions 80 to 910 of the family's 1533-position model. The record is from RNAcentral. Lineage: Bacteria; Bacillati; Bacillota; Bacilli; Caryophanales; Bacillaceae.